UACGGAGGGUGCAAGCGUUAUCCGGAUUCACUGGGUUUAAAGGGUGCGUAGGAGGGCAGGUAAGUCAGUGGUGAAAUCUCUGGGCUCAACCCAGAAACUGCCGUUGAUACUAUCUGUCUUGAAUCCCGUUGAGGUGAGCGGAAUAUGUCAUGUAGCGGUGAAAUGCUUAGAUAUGACAUAGAACACCAAUUGCGAAGGCAGCUCGCUAAACGAAGAUUGACUCUGAGGCACGAAAGCGUGGGGAUCAAACAGG
This 253-nucleotide unclassified non-coding RNA is filed under the name uncultured Chitinophagaceae bacterium. RNAcentral's name for it is "contains 16S-23S intergenic spacer region". It matches the Rfam family "Bacterial small subunit ribosomal RNA", at positions 524 to 776 of the family's 1533-position model. The record is from RNAcentral. Lineage: Bacteria; Pseudomonadati; Bacteroidota; Chitinophagia; Chitinophagales; Chitinophagaceae.